Molecule: ribosomal RNA, 989 nt
Filed under: uncultured bacterium
Lineage: Bacteria
Description: bacterial SSU rRNA
Rfam family: Bacterial small subunit ribosomal RNA
Source: RNAcentral
AGAGUUUGAUCAUGGCUCAGAAUCAACGCUGGCGGCGUGCCUCAGACAUGCAAGUCGAACGAUUAAGACUCCCUUCGGGGAGUGCAUAAAGUGGCGCACGGGUGAGUAACACGUAAGUAAUCUACCUUCGAGUGGGGAAUAACAUCGGGAAACCGAUGCUAAUACCGCAUAACGCAGCGGCACCUAAUGGUGACAGUUGUUAAAGGAGCAAUUCGCUUGAAGAGGAGCUUGCGGCAGAUUAGCUAGUUGGUAAGGUAAUGGCUUACCAAGGCUACGAUCUGUAUCCGGUCUAAGAGGACGGUCGGACACGCUGACACUGAAUAACGGGUCAGACUCCUACGGGAGGCAGCAGUCGGGAAUUUUGGGCAAUGGGCGAAAGCCUGACCCAGCAACGCCGCGUGAAGGAUGAAGUUUUUCGGAAUGUAAACUUCGAAAGAAUGGGAAGAAUAAAUGACGGUACCAUUUAUAAGGUCCGGCUAACCACGUGCCAGCAGCCGCGGUAAUACGUAGGGACCAAGCGUUGUUCGGAUUUACUGGGCGUAAAGGGCGCGUAGGCGGCAAUUCAAGUCAGCUGUGAAAUCUCCGGGCUUAACUCGGAACGGUCAGCUGAUACUGCUUUGCUAGAGUGCAGAAGGGGCAAUCGGAAUUCUCGGUGUAGCGGUGAAAUGCGUAGAUAUCGAGAGGAACACCUGAGGUGAAGACGGGUUGCUGGGCUGACACUGACGCUGAGGCGCGAAAGCCAGGGUAGCAAACGGGAUUAGAUACCCCGGUAGUCCUGGCCCUAAACGAUGAAUACUUGGUGUCUGGAGUUAUUAUUGCUCCGGGUGCCGUCGCUAACGUUUUAAGUAUUCCGCCUGGGGAGUACGCACGCAAGUGUGAAACUCAAAGGAUUGACGGGACCCGCACAGCGUGAGCAUGUGGUUUAUUCGACGCACGCGAAGAACCUUACCUGGGCUAGAAUGCGCGGGAAGACGUCUAACAGCGUCCGU